AAUAAACCAAUCUUUCACUUUUUGCCUACAAUCUUUAACUCUUCGUCUUAUUUAAAAUUUUUUUGUGAUUGAUAUUUUUGUUUUUAUUAGAUGAUAAAUCAUGAAUAGUAUUUUACGUAUGACUAAUUUUUUCUUAUUUUUUAAAAAAAUUUUAAAUAAGACGGAUGGUCAAAAGCCGGGAAAAAACUGAAG
RNAcentral lists this microRNA precursor (192 nucleotides) under Oryza brachyantha (malo sina). RNAcentral describes it as "MIR812 microRNA precursor family". It matches the Rfam family "MIR812 microRNA precursor family". The record is from Rfam by way of RNAcentral. Lineage: Eukaryota; Viridiplantae; Streptophyta; Magnoliopsida; Poales; Poaceae.